This 861-nucleotide ribosomal RNA is filed under the name uncultured bacterium. RNAcentral describes it as "partial 16S ribosomal RNA". The record is from RNAcentral.
UGGUUACCUUGUUACGACUUCACCCCAAUCAUCUGUCCCACCUUCGGCGGCUGGCUCCCGUAAUGGUUACCCCACCGACUUCGGGUGUUACAAACUCUCGUGGUGUGACGGGCGGUGUGUACAAGGCCCGGGAACGUAUUCACCGUGGCAUGCUGAUCCACGAUUACUAGCGAUUCCGGCUUCAUGUAGGCGAGUUGCAGCCUACAAUCCGAACUGAGAACGGUUUUAUGGGAUUUGCUCACCCUCGCGGGGUUGCGACCCUCUGUACCGUCCAUUGUAGCACGUGUGUAGCCCAGGUCAUAAGGGGCAUGAUGAUUUGACGUCAUCCCCACCUUCCUCCGGUUUAUCACCGGCAGUCACCUUAGAGUGCCCAACUGAAUGCUGGCAACUAAGAUCAAGGGUUGCGCUCGUUGCGGGACUUAACCCAACAUCUCACGACACGAGCUGACGACAACCAUGCACCACCUGUCACCGCUGUCCCCGAAGGGAAAAGCCUAUCUCUAGGCCGGUCAGCGGGAUGUCAAGACCUGGUAAGGUUCUUCGCGUUGCUUCGAAUUAAACCACAUGCUCCACCGCUUGUGCGGGCCCCCGUCAAUUCCUUUGAGUUUCAGCCUUGCGGCCGUACUCCCCAGGCGGAGUGCUUAAUGCGUUAGCUGCAGCACUAAAGGGCGGAAACCCUCUAACACUUAGCACUCAUCGUUUACGGCGUGGACUACCAGGGUAUCUAAUCCUGGUUGCUCCCCACGCUUUCGCGCCUCAGCGUCAGUUACAGACCAGAAAGCCGCCUUCGCCACUGGUGUUCCUCCACAUCUCUACGCAUUUCACCGCUACACGUGGAAUUCCGCUUUCCUCUUCUGUACU